UACGAAGGGGGCUAGCGUUGCUCGGAAUCACUGGGCGUAAAGCGCACGUAGGCGGGUCGUUAAGUCGGGGGUGAAAGCCUGUGGCUCAACCACAGAAUGGCCUUCGAUACUGUUUGGCUUGAGACCGGAAGAGGUCAGUGGAACUGCGAGUGUAGAGGUGAAAUUCGUAGAUAUUCGCAAGAACACCAGUGGCGAAGGCGGCUGACUGGUCCGGUUCUGACGCUGAGGCGCGAAAGCGUGGGGAGCAAACAGG
This 253-nucleotide ribosomal RNA is filed under the name uncultured bacterium. RNAcentral describes it as "partial 16S ribosomal RNA". It matches the Rfam family "Bacterial small subunit ribosomal RNA", at positions 524 to 776 of the family's 1533-position model. The record is from RNAcentral.